AGGGCCAGAAAACACAGUGCCGAGACCUACCAAACAGAGAGAAGCUGGAAAAGAAGUUCAUCAGGAAGGAGCAGAAAACACAAUGCCGACACCUUCCAAAAAGAGAGCAGCUGGAAAAGAAGUGAAUCUAGAAG
Molecule: non-coding RNA, 134 nt
Organism: Salvelinus sp. IW2-2015
Lineage: Eukaryota; Metazoa; Chordata; Actinopteri; Salmoniformes; Salmonidae
Source: RefSeq, a predicted model, not a curated record